Molecule: long non-coding RNA, 623 nt
Filed under: Mus spicilegus (steppe mouse)
Lineage: Eukaryota; Metazoa; Chordata; Mammalia; Rodentia; Muridae
Description: lncRNA (ENSMSIG00000032141.1)
Source: RNAcentral
AAUUUAUACAAAGACAGUGUAGACAGAGAAGGUUAGUGCUGAAACUCAGUGCUUAUGUUUGGCUUUCUUUAAGGAACUGUUCGAGACAGAUUAGUUUAAAAGAGGAUGGACAAUUUUAUGGGCCGCAUUGAAGAAGUUUGAGGGGGCAGAGAAAUGGAAAUAUUACGUGGACAGAGAGACCUCUGUAUUUUCCUGAUGGCAUCGUCCCCAUGAUGAAAUCCAGAUCAGGAAUAAAUGUUAUUUCAAAUCACACAAAGAGAUUCAUGGCAAGGAAAAUACUUAUGGUCAAGAUUGUUUUUCACCUGAAAAAAGAAGAGCACUUAAGAAAACACAAAGUACAGUAAUGGAAGUACUUUAUCACUUAAGAACAUAGAGCAAGGAGAGUUAUCCAUGUUACUUGUGUUGGAUAAUAAGAGAGAGCGUAUCAUUCUCUUUGGCUACUAUAUGGGUUCUUCUUAAUUCCACCCUGCGUCAACAUUUUCUUCCAUGAUUUCAACUACUAAUAGGGGAGAAAAAAAAGAAUAGAGGGGAAAGGAAAUUGUUCCCUGAAUAGCUUCAAGGGUCAGAAAGUGUUCAAUAUUACAGGUACUUCCUGCUAAUUGGGUAAAUUGAGUUCCUUGGGG